Molecule: non-coding RNA, 857 nt
Organism: Thalassophryne amazonica
Lineage: Eukaryota; Metazoa; Chordata; Actinopteri; Batrachoidiformes; Batrachoididae
Source: the annotation of a RefSeq genome assembly
GACACGACAUACAUGUGUUCAUGAGCAUAAAGUCACAUGGGAACAAAAAUAAAGAAGGAAGGAAAAUGGGUUUGAAAUUAAAAUAAAAAAAGAAGAAAAGGUCAAAGUGUUCCAUGUGAACGUUGCAUGACAGAAUAAUUCUCAGGGGAUGAUACCUUCUGUCUUUUGUCAGUUUCACGUGUACAGAUGCGCACCCUCUUUGGCAUUUAUUUUGCAUAUUAUGCAUCACUGAUUCUCAUAGUUUAUCUUCAUAUUCGGUACAAAAUGUGAAGUGUUUUCAUGCACUCACACCUAAAGCUGCCUCAGGAUGAUGUCACCAACAGUUCUGAUCAUCAUGUUGGUUUUCAUGACUCAAGAAUCUUCUGCAAACAAUUUUCUGACUCAGUCAGAUAAAGUCAAGUCUGUCAGUCUUGGAGGGACUGUGACCAUCAGCGCCACAGGAAGCUCCAACAUUGGGGCUGAUCUCAGUUGGUACCUUCAGAAACCUGGACAGGCUCCCAAACUUCUUAUAUACGUAGCAUCAACUCUGUUCUCAGGAACUCCAUCUCGAUUCAGUGGCACUCGCUCUGGUUCUCAGUACUCUCUGACUAUCACUGGUGUUCAGCAGGAAGAUGUUGGAGAUUACUACUGUCUCGGUAACCAUGGUGGUGGAGUGUUCACACAGUGAUUUAGAGCCGUACAAAAACCUCCCUCAGUUUGAGGACAUUAAAAACAGCCUGCUGCAGCUGCUGUGGUUUGAACAGGAAACUGUGACGAGGACGACGAGUCCAGUGAACGCAGCACCGCAGUGAACGUGUGUCAUCAACCAGAACCACAACUCCUCCAAUAAAAACACUAAUAUGGCAAAUUUAAUGAAC